GAGGUUUUAGUUUAAUUCAGCGCCUGGAUUGCAGUCAGGAGAUGCGCAUGAGAGUUGUGUAAGCCUUC
This 68-nucleotide transfer RNA is filed under the name Kolekanos plumicauda. Its description in RNAcentral is "tRNA-Ala". The record is from RNAcentral. Lineage: Eukaryota; Metazoa; Chordata; Lepidosauria; Squamata; Gekkonidae.